Molecule: ribosomal RNA, 225 nt
Filed under: uncultured bacterium
Lineage: Bacteria
Description: partial 16S ribosomal RNA
Rfam family: Bacterial small subunit ribosomal RNA
Source: RNAcentral
AGUAACGCGUGGGUAACCUGCCUCGCACAGGGGGAUAGCAGUUGGAAACGACUGAUAAUACCGCAUAAGCGCACAGUACCGCAUGGUACAGUGUGAAAAACUCCGGUGGUGUGAGAUGGACCCGCGUCUGAUUAGCUUGUUGGCGGGGUAACGGCCCACCAAGGCAACGAUCAGUAGCCGACCUGAGAGGGUGACCGGCCACAUUGGGACUGAGACACGGCCCAG